UGCUGACAGGUACAGGUUGGUAAGGUACGCAGUCAGGUAGCCAAUAGGACUUUUUCCUCCUGUCAUGCAGAAGCGUUCGAUUGUUAAGCCAUAGUGAUUAAUGCUGUUUAUGAGCCUCACUCCCACUUGGGCAUGGUUGUUAGUCAUCAGAACAAUGUCAAAUCGUUCUUCAUCAUCAGGGUACAGUUCGAGAAGCCUGGCAUUGACAUGUUCUAGUGCCUUGACGAAGUGAAACGCCGGUCCGGGCUUCAGGGUGACGUUCUCGUUCUCCUGCUGAAUUUCCUGAUGCAAGGAAGCUUAUAUGAUCAUACCAUCUGUCCAUCGUUCCCCAGUGAUGCCCAGUUCCAGAUGAAUUUGACAGAAGGAUAAAGAUCUCAAAGAGAUUUAAAUUCUCCAAACGUUUAAUGCCCAUCAGCAGCAGCCUCCAGGAAAAGCCUGUACUGCAAAUGCAGUAUAUUAAUCUGCUUGUUCUUGUGCUACAUAACAGUGAAUGAAUGCUGCCUGGCUGCCUGCCUUCUCCAGUCAGCCCUAUUGCCCAUGGUCCCAUUGAGCACAGGGGGUCUGGAGCGGUAGGAGCUUUGUGGAAGGAAGGAGCUCAAAGUGUGUUAUUAAUGGAAAAAAAAAAAGAAGCAAACCUACACUUCUAUCUGGAAGGAUGUGAAAUAUUUCCAAACAUUUAACAUACUGAGACCAGAAGUAAGGAAAAGACUCACUAUGGAAGGACCUUUUCUGCCUUUAAAUUUGGUGUUCCACUCCUCCGUAACACCGAGAUGAUCAGAGCCCUGGCAGGGCAGCGGUCUGUCCAACUGCCAGCAGAGAAGCUCUGACCUGACAGCAGACUCAAUCUUCUGGUCUGAUGGACGAUGGUGGUGCCAGCACAUGUGUCUUCUGGAAGAUAGGAAUGUGGAUCUCACACAGCAGUAGGACUUUUUUUCCCUUUACAAUGGCCGAGCAGAGCAGCAGCAGUGCCAUUGAUUCCUGCUGUUGCCGCCCUGCUGAACGCCAAGACAGAUAAACUGUGGGAUGUUCUUAGCAGCUCCUCCAUGGGGUAGUAAGAUAAACAUGAGAAACAUAAGGAGAUAUUAAAGAGUAGAUUAUAAUCCAUUUUCAGGAAACAGCAUUUUCUCCAGCAAGAGAGACUGAACUUUAUCAAAGGGGAAACUUCUCCAGGAGGACUUGCCAAAGUAAAUCUCUUUGAUGCAAAUGGUUUAAGCAAAGACAUUCACCUUAAUCUACUGUGUGGUGACCUGCUCUUCUGAUACAAAGAAUAAUUAUGGGUGUUUUCGGAAUUGCUGUGGUCUGCAAAUCCUCCAAAUCUAAGUUCUUAAUGUUCCCGCUUCACCACUCUGAUCUUGGUCACCCACAUUUCUUGUAAUUUUGGCCUUGCUUAAUGCCUUUAGGUGUUGUUACUUGGAAAGACUUCACUGCCUUUUGAAGGACAGAUCAAAAAAUAACAAGCUUUUUUUUUUUUUUACCUUUACAUUUAAUUGUUGUGCCUGGGUCUAAUAAAGUGAAUGACCCACAAAUAACUUGAUCGAAGUGCAGAACACAGUGGAGUGGAGAAGACGAGUGUUUAGCUGUUGAAAUCAAUACUUUCAUGCAGAUUGAUGUCUGUGCCAGUUUGCCAUCCCGGACGUUUUCAGUUUAGUUUAUUUGUGUUACAGUAGUAGUGACAAUGUAGUUAAAUAUAGCCUCUGAAAACAGGAUCUCUGCUUGUUUCAUUUGUAUUCUACUGUUCUUUCAUUAAACAUUUCUUCAUCUUUGCAGAGCCAAAUUCUUACAAUAAUAAAUCAGAGACACCUAAAGUUCUUGCCAAGUCAAAUAUCUACAGUUUCUGGCAAUUAUGUAAUUUCCAGAUUUGCUACAAUGACUCUUGCCGAUAAGUCAAUUGUCAUAAAAAGAAAUGUUCCAGACCAAUCUUUAUUAGGGUGUCCUUCACUGAUCUGUGUAAAAUAAUCCCCCUCCAGCCCCACUUUCUUUUAGAAAAGAGAAACAUAAUUACAGCUUUUUCCCUUGCUAUGAAUGACUCUUCAUCAUAACAAUUUAUAUCUGGAAAAUGUCACAAGAAAAUGUGAAAAAGGUAAGUUUAAACCAAAGAAAUCAGGAACUGCUGUUAUUAAUAGAACAGCUCAGAAAUGUUUCCCAUGAUGUGUUAUAAUGGCUCUGUCUUAUAAUAAAAUUUAACAGUGAUGUAUUUCCCUUGUUCUCAAGUUGAUUUUGUAUUAGAAGUCCAGACAAAAGUAAUUUGUAGCAAAGGUCCCUGAUCCAAUGUCUGUAUAUGGAAAAGACUCAAAGGACUUUGUGCCCAUUUAAAAGUCCUUUAAAAUGAUUAAUGGCUAAAUGCAUUACAAAUUAUCAAGUAUUUCACACUGACAAAACAGAGAACUUAUUCUGAAUUUG
This 2400-nucleotide long non-coding RNA is filed under the name Gallus gallus (chicken). The record is from RNAcentral. Lineage: Eukaryota; Metazoa; Chordata; Aves; Galliformes; Phasianidae.